This 440-nucleotide ribosomal RNA is filed under the name uncultured bacterium. RNAcentral's name for it is "partial 16S ribosomal RNA". It matches the Rfam family "Bacterial small subunit ribosomal RNA", at positions 338 to 795 of the family's 1533-position model. The record is from RNAcentral.
CCUACGGGUGGCAGCAGUAGGGAAUAUUGCUCAAUGGUGGAAACCCUGAAGCAGCAACGCCGCGUGGAGGAUGAAGGUUUUCGGAUUGUUAACUUCUUUUGUUAGAGACGAUAAUGUUGGUACCUAAGGAGUAAGCACCGGAUAACUCAGUGCCAGCAGCCGUGGUAAUACGGAGGGUGCAAGCGUUACUCGGAAUCACUGGGCGUAAAGCGCGUGUAGGCGGGUUAGCAAGUCAGAUGUGAAAUCCUAGGGCUUAACGAUAAAACUGCAUUUGAAACUGUUAUUCUAGAGUAUAGGAGAGGUAGGUGGAAUUCUGGGUGUAGGGGUAAAAUCCGUAGAGAUCAAGAGGAAUACUCAGUGCGAAGGCGGCCUACUGGAACGUAACUGACGCUGAUGCGCGAAAGCGUGGGGAGCAAACAGGAUUAGAUACCCGAGUAGUC